RNAcentral lists this ribosomal RNA (253 nucleotides) under uncultured bacterium. RNAcentral's name for it is "partial 16S ribosomal RNA". It matches the Rfam family "Bacterial small subunit ribosomal RNA", at positions 524 to 776 of the family's 1533-position model. The record is from RNAcentral.
UACGUAGGGUGCAAGCGUUAAUCGGAAUUACUGGGCGUAAAGCGUGCGCAGGCGGUUAUGCAAGACAGAUGUGAAAUCCCCGGGCUCAACCUGGGAACUGCAUUUGUGACUGCAUGACUAGAGUACGGUAGAGGGGGAUGGAAUUCCGCGUGUAGCAGUGAAAUGCGUAGAUAUGCGGAGGAACACCGAUGGCGAAGGCAAUCCCCUGGACCUGUACUGACGCUCAUGCACGAAAGCGUGGGGAGCAAACAGG